UUGCACCUUGUAUAGAAGGUCAUGCCUCGUUCUGGUGGCAUGGCCAUUUUCUAGGAUGCGUAAAGGAAUAGCUGUUAAUUCAGUAAGCGGCCAGACAACCGUUGGGAUAGAUCCACUGUUGUUGCGGUUUUUUCUCUCCGCUCUCAACUACUAAAUAUAUCCCACAUUU
Molecule: small nucleolar RNA, 169 nt
Filed under: Arabidopsis lyrata subsp. lyrata
Lineage: Eukaryota; Viridiplantae; Streptophyta; Magnoliopsida; Brassicales; Brassicaceae
Description: small nucleolar RNA snoR143
Rfam family: small nucleolar RNA snoR143
Source: Rfam by way of RNAcentral